GUGAGAAUUUUCGCCCAGGUUAUGAUUGGGUCUGCGCUUGCGAGUGAGAGACGUUACGUGCGUAGAGAUGGGUGUAGGCUGUAGGCCUACGUAGAGUUGGUGACUUGUGGUUCACCUAUGAGGUCAAGAUGAACGAUAGGCGAGUAGCCUUAUCGAUGAGUUUAGGCUUGGAUUCACGAGCGGGAGUUCGUGUGAAUUCAUUGCGAGAGUUGAACUUCGCUCAAGAUCGACUAAUUGUCAAGUGGAAGUGCUUUGUACAAGCCGAAGAAGUUGAGUGCACC
Molecule: long non-coding RNA, 281 nt
Filed under: Ananas comosus (pineapple)
Lineage: Eukaryota; Viridiplantae; Streptophyta; Magnoliopsida; Poales; Bromeliaceae
Description: long non-coding RNA (ACOM_LNC041188)
Source: RNAcentral